RNAcentral lists this ribosomal RNA (337 nucleotides) under uncultured bacterium. RNAcentral's name for it is "partial 16S ribosomal RNA". It matches the Rfam family "Bacterial small subunit ribosomal RNA", at positions 338 to 692 of the family's 1533-position model. The record is from RNAcentral.
ACUACGGGCGGCAGCAGUGGGGAAUAUUGCACAAUGGGGGAAACCCUGAUGCGGCGACGCCGCGUGAGUGAAGAAGUAUUUCGGUAUGUAAAGCUCUAUCAGCAGGGAAGAUAAUGACGGUACCUGAGUAAGAAGCACCGGCUAACUACGUGCCAGCAGCCGCGGUAAUACGUAGGGGGCAAGCGUUAUCCGGAUUUACCGGGGUGAAAGGGCGCGUAGACGGCUUGGAAAGUCUGGAGUGAAAGCCCGGGGCUCAACCUCGGGACUGCUUUGGAAACUGUUAAGCUGGAGUGCAGGAGAGGGAAGUGGAAUUCCUGGGGUAGCGGUGAAAUGCGUA